This 155-nucleotide unclassified non-coding RNA is filed under the name Ophiobolus artemisiicola. RNAcentral describes it as "partial internal transcribed spacer 2". The record is from RNAcentral. Lineage: Eukaryota; Fungi; Ascomycota; Dothideomycetes; Pleosporales; Phaeosphaeriaceae.
GUACCCUCAAGCUUUGCUUGGUGUUGGGUGUUUGUCCUUUCCCUGCGUCAGGACUCGCCUUAAAUUCAUUGGCAGCCGAUGUAUUGGUUUGAAGCGCAGCACAAUUUGCGAUUCAGGCUGGUGAUCAUGGGCAUCCAGUAAGCACAUUUUAACAC